This is a long non-coding RNA of Homo sapiens (human), 1780 nucleotides long. NCBI's taxonomy places the organism in Eukaryota, Metazoa, Chordata, Mammalia, Primates, Hominidae. The record is from Ensembl.
UUUUUUUUUUUUUUUUUUUUUAAGACGGAGUCUCGCUGUUGUCACGCCGGCUGGAGUGCAGUGGCGCAAUCUUGGCUCACUGCAACCUCAGCCUCCCGGAUUCAAGCGAUUCUUCUGCCUCAGCCUCCUGAAUAGCUGGGAUUACAGGUGCCUGCCACUACGCCUGGCUAAUUUUUGUACUUUUAGUAGAGACAAAGUUUUGCCAUGUUGGCCAGGCUGGUCUCGAACCCCUGACCUCAGGUGAUCUGCCCGCCUCAGUCUCCCAAAGUGCUGGAAUUAUAGGCGUGAGCCACCGCGCCCGGCCCCAGAUCUUUUUUUAUGUAGUGGCGCGCACAUACACACACACACACCCCAAACCAAAAUGUCAAGUCUAUGAGGAAGAGCAAUGGAAAGAGCCUGAAGGGAAAAGAUUGGGAACCAUGGCAUUUUGAGAACCUAUCUACAGCUACUAAGGCUUUUUGGGUGUUGGGAAAACAGGCUAUUGCUUAACAAGGGUGGGGAAGAGCGACAUGAAUGUCAUGAAACAAGAAUGGGGGCAUCAAAGACAAAUUCAUCAUUACUUUGCUGGUGUCUUACAGGACUUUCUUCCCUUUGAAACCUUAGUAACAUUUUUUCCCCUUUGGAAAAAAUGUCAGAGAGUGCUCAGGAGCUCAACUUUUACUUCAGCUGUUAUUAACCUUCAACCACAAGACAAUAACAUCUGUUCCUUUUAUCCCAAUUUUACGUGCGGCAUUCUUAGCCAUAUCUACACUGUGUUUUUAUGCACAUCAUCAUACCCUGUUGUAGGGCUAUAAAGACCCUACUAUGGUAGAAUUGGGAGUGGACUGAGGGAUUAGGACAAAAGGAUGUGGAAAACCGCAGAUCUAGAGAUGCAUAGCUAUUCUCAUAACCUAGGAAGAGAGGUGGAUUUCUCCGUCAUCAAUAGCUGAACACUCCUUGUGUUUCUAAGUAUUGAAUCCAUAAAGUUACAUGCAAACAUACAGCCCUUGCCUUCAGGCCAAGCCGUAGUUAUGCAGAAGGCUUGAAGCAAUCACAGAUUUAACAUUUGUGGUUCCAGCUAUUCAGGACCAAUUCCCAAACUCCACGACAUGUAACAAUUUGUAAUUUUGCUAGGACACAGUUUGAUGCUUAGGUUUUAAGGCUGGUGUGCUAGACGUUAUCAAGUGGUUUGUGAGAGUAGCCCUGUGUCUCCAUUGGGUAGAGUAGCUGGGUCGCAAGGAUCAUGAAGAGAUGAAGAAAUGGCUGUGAAAAGCCAACUAGCCUCGGUGAUAGUAAGCAAAGGUAUAGAAACACUAAGGAAGUUACCCUUUGUAUUGUCAAAGGUUUCAGUUUUGUGUAAGGUGGUGAUUCACGGGCAGUUAAUCUCCAUCACUAAAAUUAAAUCCUUUUUUAUUCAUUGCAAAUAGAUAAUCUGUGGAAGACAUUUUGGCUUUUCUCGCUAGCAGAAAAUGUGAGGCUUCUUCAGGUUUUUCCUGUUCAUUGUUUCACGGGAGCAUCUUCCCCAAAACACUGCAAAACUCAAAGUUCUCAGGCUGAUGUGGCAGAAAGAGCAUUGAUCUCGGCUUCAGGAGCUAAAUUCUCUAGUCCUGACUGUGCCACUAACAGACUGUGGGACUUCAGACAAGUACAUUCCUUUCUCGGGUUUCUUAUGUCAAAUGGACAGCGUGAGAAGGAUCACAAUGAACCAGGGAUCAGCUUCACGAUUAAAACCUAAGACUUAAGAGACGGACAUCUGUCCGUUCCUGGCUACACCUCCGGCCCAUCUGGCCCACCCCAAACU